This 253-nucleotide ribosomal RNA is filed under the name uncultured bacterium. RNAcentral describes it as "partial 16S ribosomal RNA". It matches the Rfam family "Bacterial small subunit ribosomal RNA", at positions 524 to 776 of the family's 1533-position model. The record is from RNAcentral.
UACAGAGGUCUCAAGCGUUGUUCGGAUUCAUUGGGCGUAAAGGGUGUGUAGGUGGCUCGCUAAGUCGGGUGUGAAAUUUCGGAGCUUAACUCCGAAACUGCAUUCGAUACUGGCGUGCUUGAGGACUGGAGAGGAGACUGGAAUUCAUGGUGUAGCAGUGAAAUGCGUAGAGAUCAUGAGGAAGACCAGUGGCGAAGGCGGGUCUCUGGACAGUUCCUGACACUGAGACACGAAGGCCAAGGGAGCAAACAGG